GAUGAACGCUAGCGGCAGGCCUAAUACAUGCAAGUCGAACGGCAGCACAAGGUAGCUUGCUAUCUGUGUAGUGACCGGCGCACGGGUGCGGAACGCGUAAGCAACCUGCCAUCUACAGGUGGAUAACCCGUCGAAAGACAGAUUAACACUGCUUAUGAUCACAGCUUGGCAUCAAGUGGAUAGGAACAAAUUUAGGAAUAGGAUAGGCAUGCGUCGCAUUUGCUUGUGGGGGAGGUAACGGGCCACCAAGGGCACGAUGCGUAUGGGGACUGUGAGGGUCAUCCCCCACACUGGUACUGGGACACGGACCAGACUCCUACGGGAGGCAGCAGUGCGGAAGAUUGGGCAAUGGGCGCGAGCCUGAACCAGCCAAGGCGCGUGAAGGAUGACUGUCUUAUGGAUUGUAAACUUCUUUGAUACGGGAAUAACAGGGGUGACGGGUGACACUCUGAAUGUACCGGAUGAAUAAGGAUCGGCUAACUCCGUG
RNAcentral lists this ribosomal RNA (487 nucleotides) under uncultured bacterium. Its description in RNAcentral is "partial 16S ribosomal RNA". It matches the Rfam family "Bacterial small subunit ribosomal RNA", at positions 28 to 507 of the family's 1533-position model. The record is from RNAcentral.